UAUCAUUAACUGAAUCCAUAGGUUAAUGAGGCGAACCGGGGGAACUGAAACAUCUAAGUACCCCGAGGAAAAGAAAUCAACCGAGAUUCCCCCAGUAGCGGCGAGCGAACGGGGAGGAGCCCAGAGCCUGAAUCAGCAUGUGUGUUAGUGGAAGCGUCUGGAAAGGCGCGCGAUACAGGGUGACAGCCCCGUACACAAAAGCGCAUGUGCUGUGAGCUCGAUGAGUAGGGCGGGACACGUGGUAUCCUGUCUGAAUAUGGGGGGACCAUCCUCCAAGGCUAAAUACUCCUGACUGACCGAUAGUGAACCAGUACCGUGAGGGAAAGGCGAAAAGAACCCCGGCGAGGGGAGUGAAAAAGAACCUGAAACCGUGUACGUACAAGCAGUGGGAGCACAGGUUUACCUGUGUGACUGCGUACCUUUUGUAUAAUGGGUCAGCGACUUAUAUUCUGUAGCAAGGUUAACCGAAUAGGGGAGCCGGAGGGAAACCGAGUCUUAAUUGGGCGUUAAGUUGCAGGGUAUAGACCCGAAACCCGGUGAUCUAGCCAUGGGCAGGUUGAAGGUUGGGUAACACUAACUGGAGGACCGAACCGACUAAUGUUGAAAAAUUAGCGGAUGACCUGUGGCUGGGGGUGAAAGGCCAAUCAAACCGGGAGAUAGCUGGUUCUCCCCGAAAGCUAUUUAGGUAGCGCCUCGUGAAUUCAUCUCCGGGGGUAGAGCACUGUUUCGGCUAGGGGGCCAUCCCGGCUUACCAACCCGAUGCAAACUGCGAAUACCGGAGAAUGUUAUCACGGGAGACACACGGCGGGUGCUAACGUCCGUCGUGAAGAGGGAAACAACCCAGACCGCCAGCUAAGGUCCCAAAGUCAUGGUUAAGUGGGAAACGAUGUGGGAAGGCCCAGACAGCCAGGAUGUUGGCUUAGAAGCAGCCAUCAUUUAAAGAAAGCGUAAUAGCUCACUGGUCGAGUCGGCCUGCGCGGAAGAUGUAACGGGGCUAAACCAUGCACCGAAGCUGCGGCAGCGACACUGUGUGUUGUUGGGUAGGGGAGCGUUCUGUAAGCCUGUGAAGGUGUGUCGUGAGGCAUGCUGGAGGUAUCAGAAGUGCGAAUGCUGACAUAAGUAACGAUAAAGCGGGUGAAAAGCCCGCUCGCCGGAAGACCAAGGGUUCCUGUCCAACGUUAAUCGGGGCAGGGUGAGUCGACCCCUAAGGCGAGGCCGAAAGGCGUAGUCGAUGGGAAACGGGUUAAUAUUCCCGUACUUGGUGUUACUGCGAAGGGGGGACGGAGAAGGCUAUGUUGGCCGGGCGACGGUUGUCCCGGUUUAAGCGUGUAGGUGUGUGUUCCAGGUAAAUCCGGUUCACUUUAACACUGAGGCGUGACGACGAGGCACUACGGUGCUGAAGCAACAAAUGCCCUGCUUCCAGGAAAAGCCUCUAAGCAUCAGGUAACAUCAAAUCGUACCCCAAACCGACACAGGUGGUCAGGUAGAGAAUACCAAGGCGCUUGAGAGAACUCGGGUGAAGGAACUAGGCAAAAUGGUGCCGUAACUUCGGGAGAAGGCACGCUGACACGUAGGUGAAGUGAUUUACUCAUGGAGCUGAAGUCAGUCGAAGAUACCAGCUGGCUGCAACUGUUUAUUAAAAACACAGCACUGUGCAAACACGAAAGUGGACGUAUACGGUGUGACGCCUGCCCGGUGCCGGAAGGUUAAUUGAUGGGGUCAGCGCAAGCGAAGCUCCUGAUCGAAGCCCCGGUAAACGGCGGCCGUAACUAUAACGGUCCUAAGGUAGCGAAAUUCCUUGUCGGGUAAGUUCCGACCUGCACGAAUGGCGUAAUGAUGGCCAGGCUGUCUCCACCCGAGACUCAGUGAAAUUGAACUCGCUGUGAAGAUGCAGUGUACCCGCGGCAAGACGGAAAGACCCCGUGAACCUUUACUAUAGCUUGACACUGAACAUUGAGCCUUGAUGUGUAGGAUAGGUGGGAGGCUUUGAAGUGUGGACGCCAGUCUGCAUGGAGCCGACCUUGAAAUACCACCCUUUAAUGUUUGAUGUUCUAACGUGGACCCGUUACCCGGGUUGCGGACAGUGUCUGGUGGGUAGUUUGACUGGGGCGGUCUCCUCCUAAAGAGUAACGGAGGAGCACGAAGGUUGGCUAAUCCUGGUCGGACAUCAGGAGGUUAGUGCAAUGGCAUAAGCCAGCUUGACUGCGAGCGUGACGGCGCGAGCAGGUGCGAAAGCAGGUCAUAGUGAUCCGGUGGUUCUGAAUGGAAGGGCCAUCGCUCAACGGAUAAAAGGUACUCCGGGGAUAACAGGCUGAUACCGCCCAAGAGUUCAUAUCGACGGCGGUGUUUGGCACCUCGAUGUCGGCUCAUCACAUCCUGGGGCUGAAGUAGGUCCCAAGGGUAUGGCUGUUCGCCAUUUAAAGUGGUACGCGAGCUGGGUUUAGAACGUCGUGAGACAGUUCGGUCCCUAUCUGCCGUGGGCGCUGGAGAACUGAGGGGGGCUGCUCCUAGUACGAGAGGACCGGAGUGGACGCAUCACUGGUGUUCGGGUUGUCAUGCCAAUGGCACUGCCCGGUAGCUAAAUGCGGAAGAGAUAAGUGCUGAAAGCAUCUAAGCACGAAACUUGCCCCGAG
This 2633-nucleotide ribosomal RNA is filed under the name Salmonella enterica subsp. enterica serovar Enteritidis. Its description in RNAcentral is "partial 23S ribosomal RNA". It matches the Rfam family "Bacterial large subunit ribosomal RNA". Lineage: Bacteria; Pseudomonadati; Pseudomonadota; Gammaproteobacteria; Enterobacterales; Enterobacteriaceae. The record is from RNAcentral.